RNAcentral lists this ribosomal RNA (484 nucleotides) under uncultured bacterium. RNAcentral's name for it is "partial 16S ribosomal RNA". It matches the Rfam family "Bacterial small subunit ribosomal RNA", at positions 28 to 523 of the family's 1533-position model. The record is from RNAcentral.
GACGAACGCUGGCGGCGUGCUUAACACAUGCAAGUCGAACGAUGAAGCCGGAGCUUGCUCUGGUGAAUUAGUGGCGAACGGGUGAGUAACACGUGAGUAACCUGCCCUUGACUCUGGGAUAACUGCUAGAAAUGGUAGCUAAUACCGGAUACGACCCUCGGCGGCAUCGCCAGGGGGUGGAAAGAAUUUCGGUCAAGGAUGGACUCGCGGCCUAUCAGCUAGUUGGUGAGGUAACGGCUCACCAAGGCGACGACGGGUAGCCGGCCUGAGAGGGUGACCGGCCACACUGGGACCGAGACACGGCCCAGACUCCUACGGGAGGCAGCAGUGGGGAAUAUCGCACAAUGGGCGCAAGCCUGAUGCAGCAACGCCGCGUGAGGGAUGACGGCCUUCGGGUUGUAAACCUCUUUUAGUAGGGAAGAAGCGAAAGUGACGGUACCUGCAGAAAAAGCACCGGCUAACUACGUGCCAGCCGCCGCAGUAA